AGCUACAGACAUUUUCUUGUGUUUUUCUUUAUACUAAUAUAGGCAAGAGAGGACAUGCCACACACAGGCUGUGAGAUGUCAGCUGUAGGCUCUCUGAAUGGCCAAUAAAGAGCUGGAAAGAAGAGAGAUGGGAUUGCCACACGCAUCAUGUAAAUGAGUUCACGGGCUUAGCCCAGUGCAGCCCUUGGCUCAUGAUAAGACCUGCCUACUGUGUCACUUGACUGCCAAGCAGGGUAUCUUCACCCUGGGUUAACAGGAAGCACCUAAGAACUGAUGUCUUCUUACAGUGGAAGAGGGUCUUGCACCAGGAUGUGUGGCUCUGCACUGAUCUGGUGAAGCCCCAUUGCUCUCUGUCUUGAUUCUCUGGGUUUUGAAGUCAUGGAUUACUCGUUUGUUGUUGUUGCUGCUUCUAAACUCAUUUAACUCUCCUUAAAUUCUCUUAAAGGGGAUUUAUUGGACAAAUACUGGAGGAUCUCAAGACUCCAAGGCCAAGAACUAGAGCUUGAGCUUCAUGAAGGCUGAAACUAGGAAAUGGGUAGUAGUUAUUUCAUUCUCACUUUUCUCUCUCACUUGGGGCCACCUCAACUCUCCACUUCUUUCUUCAGGUUAAUCCACGCUUCUUUUUGUCUGUAGACCAACUUUUACUUCUUUGGCAUGAGCACAGACAGACAUGGCUGCCACAAAAUGGCAGACUUUGCCCCCCCAGUUCAAAGGGGGAGACUUGAGGAUGUCUCAGCUCCCAACACCUGGUAGAGAAGCUGAGCAGGGUAGGUUGGGUCAGUUGUGAGCUAGGCUGUGAGUCGUGUGAUACCACCAUUACUGCCACAGUUCAUUUCAUGAAGUAGGGACUUCCUCUGUUGAGAAAAAUUAGCAUCAUAUUGGAGUGUUGUUUAACCACUGAAGGGUUCUUUAAUUAUCUAGCGGAAUGUAUCUUUAUAUGAUUCACUUUACAUUACUGAUCGAAGGCCCAGACUCUGAGAAAUUACAUGAUAACUUACAGAUUUUCAUCUGAUAGAUAUUCAAAUGAGUUAUAUCUGGUAGAAAAUAUAACCGAAGAUUAUGGUUUAACUGCCCAUAAGCAUGUUUACUAGUUUUGUACCUAACCUAGUGAUCUUAUCCCAACAUUUCUUUCUUUAAUGACUGUAUAUUCCUGCAACCUGUACUUCUCCUUUGAAUGACCCCCACUAUCCUGCUGAUUUCCUCAGAAAUGAAUUGGACAAAUCUUGAUGUAUGUUUUAUUUUGUAUUUGUACAAGAGUCAUGUUGUUAGCUUUUUGAAUAUUAUAUUUUUCUAGUUUUCAGAAAAAAGGGGAGGAGGAUUGGGUUGAUACUUUAGAGGUAUCUACUAUAACUUCUGUUUUGGUUCCUAUGAAUUUCCCUUUCCUUCCUUCCUUCCUUCCUUCCUUUCUUUCUUUCUUUCAUUUUUUGCUUUUUAGGACCACACCUGUGGCAUAUGGAAGUUCCCAGGCUAGGGGUUGAAUUGGAGCUACAGCUGCUGGCCUAGACCACAACAAUGCCAGAUCCGAGCCACAUCUGUGACCUACACCACAGCUCACAGCAACGCUGGAUCCCUAACCCACUGAGUGAGACCAGGGAAUGAAUGUACAUCCUCAUGGAUACCAGUCAGUUUUGUUUCCACUGCGCCAUAACAAUGGGAGCUCCCUGAAUUUCCUUUUUUUUUGGUCUUUUUUUCUUUUUAGGUCUGCACCCAUGGCAUAUGGAGGGUCCCAGGCUGGAGGUCCAAUUGGAACUGUAGCUGCCAGCCUACACCACAGCCCUAGCAAUGCCAGAUCUGAGCUGUGUCUGCAACCUACACCAUAGUUCACGGCAACACUGAAUCCUUAACCCACUGAGUGAGGCCAGGGAUCGAACCCAAAACCUAUGGUUCCUAGUCAGAUUCAUUUCCACUGAUGGGAAUUCCUGAAUUUCCUAUUUUUUGAUGGCUUUCAUAACAUUUUAGCAAUGAGCUGGUCUUUUGCUGUAGUGAGAAUCUGCUGCUAGUAUACUUUUUCAGUUUUUGCUGCUCUGAAGUAUAUUUGUUUCAUCCUUGUACCUGAAAGGAACUAUCAUUGGAGAUACAGUCUAAGUUGACUCUUAGGUUUUUGAAAAUUUUAUUGUUCUGUCUCUGGCUUCAUUUGUUGCUAUUGAGAAGUCAGAAAUAAAUGUAAUAGUUAUUAUAUCAUAGGUAGUUUUUUUUUCCUCUCUGGUUGCUUUUAAGAUCUUUCUUUUCCCUUUGGCCUUUUUUUUUUUCUUUGAUAGUUUAACCAAUGAAUUUUAUUGAAUUUUCAAAGAACCCAGAUUAUUCUAAAAUUUUGUGAAUUCUUCCAGAGAAUAGAAAAAGAGAUAACAAAUAACUAAUUUGUAAGGUCAGUAUAACUCUAAUACCAAAACCAGAAAGAUAGAAAGAGAAAAAUUUUAGUUCAACCUCACAAAUGGAAAUAGAUGAAAAAUCACUAAACAGAAAUAUUGGGAACUGAAUAACAUAAUAUAUAAAAAAAUACAUCGAGAACAAAUUAAUUUUUUCCAGGAACAGAAGAAGGCUUAACAUUAUAAAAGCCAUGAAUGUAAAAUACCAUAUUUGCUUAUUAAAAGGUAAAACCAUAUUGUCAUUGCAAUACCUUUGCUCUUCUUCAAAUAAAGAAUCUUAAUGUGAAUUUCUAAAAUGUACACCUCUUGGAAUUCAUAGGGUUUCUUGGUUCUGAGAAUUCGUGGUUUUCACCAACUCUCUGAAAAAUUCAGUUAAUGUCUCUUCAAAUAUUACUUCUUCUCAAUAUUUGCUUUAUUUCUUUCCAUAAUUCCAAUUAUAUGUUAAAUAGUCUUUCUCUUUUACAUCAUAUAACUUCUACUUAAUCAUCUUUCUUCCCCUUAUAUGCUGUAUUCUGGAUAAUUUCUCCAAAUCUAUCUUCCAGUUUACUAAUUCUUUUUUUAGUAGUGGGUAAUAUUCUUUUUUGCUCAAUAAGUAUAUGAAAAUGUGUUCAACAACAUUAUAAGCAGGAAGAUGCAAAUGGAAAUUAUUACCUUCUCAUCAGAAUGGCUAAAAUUGAGAAGAAAGACAGUUCCAAAUGUUGUUAAGUCUGUAGAGCAGUAGUUACACUGCUGGUGGGAAUGUAAUUUGGUGCAACACUUUUAGGAAACAUCAGUUGUUGUCAUUUACUCAUAUUGAAGCUCCUCAUACCCUUUGAGCUAGUAUUCUGCUGAUAGAUGUAUAAUUAACAGAAAUACAGGUGCAUAUUCACUCAAAGACUUCCACGAUUGUUCAUAGAAACAUUAUUCAUAAUAGCCCCAAACUAUCAAUAACUCAUAUGUCCCUUAAGAGUAGAAUGAUAGGAGUUCCCAUCAUGGCUCAGUGGUUAAUGAACCAGACUAGUAUCCGUGAGGAUGUGGGUUCAAUCCCUGGCCUCACUCAGUAUGUCAAGGAUCCAGCGUUGCUGUGAGCCAUGGUGUAGGCUGGCAGCUAUAGCUCUGAUUCAACCCCUAGCCUGGAAACCUCCAUAUGCCUUGGGUGUGGCCCUGAAAAGACAAAAGACAAAAAAAAAAAGUGUAGAAUGAUAAUUACAUCAUGAUAUAUUUAUAUGAUGGAGAAUUAAUUAUAAGCAAUUAUAACAAACUCUAGUUAUAAAUAAUUGUGUGGAUGCAUCUCACAAGCCUAAUAUUGAGUGAGAAGAUUCAAAAGAAUAUGGUCUGUAUGAGUCCAUUUAUAAACAAAUGGAAAACCAAAACGGUUUGACAAAACUAAACCCUCGUGUUUAGGGGCAAACACUUUGGAGUUAAAGUAUGAAAAUAGGAAAAGAUAGGCAUAAAAGCCAGAGUAACAGUUAGCUUUGGGGAAGGUGGGAUAGUAUAGUGACUAGGAAGUGAUGCUUAGGGGGUUCCUGGGGUACAAGUAAUAAAAUUCUAUAUUUUGGUAUAGUUGGGGGUUACAUGAGUGUUAACUUGGUAAAAAAAUCACUGAACUGUAUACUGCUUUGUGAAAAAUAAAAUACAUACUUUGAUUUGUAAAUAAUGAAAAUAUUACAUAUCUUUUUUUUUUUUUCUUUUUAGGGCCAUGCCCAUGGCAUAUAGAAGUUCCUAGGCUAGGAGUCAAAUCAGAGCUAUAGAUGCCUGCCUACAUCACAGCCACAGCAACAUGGGAUACGAGCUGUGUCUGCAACCUACACCACAGCUCACGGUAAUGCCAGAUCCUUAACCCCCUGAGUAAGGCCAGGAAUCAAACCCACAUCUUCAUGGAUCCUAGUCAGGUUUGUUAACUGCCGAGCCACAAAAGGAACUCCACAUAUCUAAAUUUGUAAGAUGCAGCUAAGAUGGUAUUUGGAGGGAAAUUCAUAGCUUUAAAUGCUUUUGUUACAAGUGGCUAAAGUCAAGGAAUCAAGCCUUCAAUAUAAGAAGUUAGUAAAAGAAUAUUAAAAUAGUUCAAAGAAAGUAGAAUAAAGAAAACAACAAAGAUUUGAGAAGAAAUUAAUGAAGUAGUAAACAAAUAUAGAAUAAAAUAUAGGAUAAAAUGAUGAUCAAUACAAAGAGUUUGUUCUUUAAUAUGACUAAUUAACAAACUCCCAGGAAAACUGAUGAGACAAAGAAAUAAAUGGAAACAAUUAGAUAGGAGGAAUAGGCAUUCCUUUCGUGGCUCAUCGGAGAUGAAUCUUACUGGCAUUCAUGAGGACAUAGGUUCAAUCCCUGGCCUCGCUUAGUGGGUUAAGGAUCCGGCAUUGCCCGGAGCUGUGAUGUAGGUCACAGACACGGCUCAGAUCCUGUGUUACUGUGGCUGUGGCUCUGAUUCCACCCUCUGGGAACCACCAUAUGCUGCAGGUGUGGCCCUAAAAAGACACACAAACAAAAAAAUAGAUAUGAGGAAUAAAAAGGGGAAUAUGUAGCAGAUACAGUGGAAAUUCAAGAUAAUAAGAGAAUAUAUACCAAAUUUAUACCAGUAGAACUUAGGUGAAAUGGAUAAGUUAGUGGGACGAUAUCACUUCUUGAGACUGACUUAAAAGUAAAAGAAAAAUUAAAUAGUUCUAUAAUCAUUGAAUUAGUGAUAGAGAAACUUCCCACUAGGAAAAUACCAGCCCUACUUUUGUGAGUAGGUUUUACCAGAUUUAAAGAAAUAAGAUUAUUAAAAUAUUAUACAAACUCUUAGAACAGAAAAAGAGAGAACACUCCCCAGCUUGAUUUAUGAAGCUAGUAAAAAAUCUUAUACCAGGAGUUCCCAUCAUGACGCAGUGGAAGUGAAUCCGACUAGGAACCAUGAGGUCGCAGGUGCAGUCCUUGGCCUUGCUCUGUGGUUAAGGAUCUGGCAUUGCUGUGAGUUGUGGUGUAGGUUGCAGAUGAGGCUUGGAUCCCGAGUUGCUGCAGCUGUGGAAUAGGUCGGCAGCUGUAGCUCUGAUUGGACCCCUGGCCUGGGAACCUCCAUUGCUGAGGCCGUGCUCCCUCCCC
RNAcentral lists this long non-coding RNA (5423 nucleotides) under Sus scrofa (pig). Its description in RNAcentral is "lncRNA (ENSSSCG00000059355.1)". Lineage: Eukaryota; Metazoa; Chordata; Mammalia; Artiodactyla; Suidae. The record is from RNAcentral.